Molecule: RNA transcript, 2912 nt
Organism: Helianthus annuus (common sunflower)
Lineage: Eukaryota; Viridiplantae; Streptophyta; Magnoliopsida; Asterales; Asteraceae
Gene name: DNA (cytosine-5)-methyltransferase CMT2
Exons: 20
Source: RefSeq, a predicted model, not a curated record
CCCCGCUCUAGUGGACCAUGCGUCACACUUCUUUUUUUCACAUACAAACUACAUUUCCCAAAAUACCCUUUUAUCUUUUCCCUUUUUUCUCUGUAAAGUCAACCGGAGAUGGUGGCCGAUAACACUGACGGAGCCGCCGGUGAGGGUUUCACUUUCCGAUCACCACCACCUCCUCCACACUCAUCUUCAAUAACCGCUAACCAAGAUACUCCGGCGGGGCAAUUCGGUCAAAUUUCACGCAGACGUUCCCCAAGAUUACUUGACUGUAAUAGAAACAAUUCCGGUGAUCAUAAAAAUAGCAAUAACAAGCAUCCGGUGAAAAAGAAGCCUAGGGUUGCUUCAGGUUCUGAAUCUUAUUCUCUUUCCCGCAAUGAUGGUUCUUUCUUUAUCGGCGAUCCAGUUUCCGACGAGGAGGCUCGCCGGAGAUGGCCUUGGCGUUACAAUUGUCUGGGACUCAAAAGUGACGGAUGUGGCCCCAAAACCAAGAACAAUGACGACGACGACGACGAUGACAUAUUGGUUUUGAAUGUGAAGUGUCAUUAUCUACAAGCUAAGGUCGAGACACAUGUCCUCGAUCUUGGUGAUUGCGUGACCGUGAAGGGUGAAGGAGACCAUGAUCAUGUUGGUAGGAUAAUUGAAUUCUUUAAAACAACUGUUAAUCAAGACUUUUUCCGAGUUCAAUGGUUUUUCAGAGCCGAAGAUACGGUAAUAAAGGAUGCAUCAUCAUCUAAUGACGAAAGGCGAUUGUUCUGUUCCACCUUAAUGAAUGACAAUGCAUUAGAUUGCAUUAUUUCAAAAGUCAAAGUAGUCAAAAUACAACCUGGUAUAAAUCUGAAGUCGAUCCCCGCAUGUGACUAUUAUUACGACAUGCAAUACAACAUUAACUACUCCACAUUCUCCACAAUUAAAGACGAUGCAUCCUCAAAUAAUUUCCGUCUGUCCUCAUGCCACAAUAAGGAGGAAAUCAACAGUAACGGAAGCAUUGACGAUAAUUCAAAUGAAAAAGUAACGAGUUUUAAACCUAAAAAAUUAGAGUUGACGCUAUUAGAUAUGUAUUCCGGGUGUGGUGGAAUGUCAACAGGAUUGUGUUUUGGAGCAAAAAUAUCCGGUGUAGAUCUAUUCACGAAAUGGGCAGUAGAUGCAAACGAAGACGCAUGUGAAAGCUUAAGGUUGAACCAUCCGGAUACACAAAUUAGAAACGAAUCUGCUAGUGACUUUUUAGAUCUAAUAAAAGAGUGGGACAAGCUCUGCAAAAAGUAUCCAGUCAAGAAGAGAACACAACAUGUACCGCCGGACGAUGUUAUACCCUCAAAAGAACAUAACGUUGUUCCCAAAGAUGAAUACGAAGUUGAAAAAGUCGUUGAUAUAUGUUACAGUGAACUCGGUGGAAGUAGUAAGCGUGGCCUCAAAUUUAAGGUUCGUUGGGCUGGUUAUGGUCCGAAUGAUGAUACAUGGGAGCCAAUUGAGGAGUUAAGCAAAUGCAAGGACAAGAUCCGUGAGUUUGUCCAGAAGGGAAUCAAGGCAAACAUAUUGCCUCGUCCGGGUGAUGUCGGUCUCAUUUGCGGGGGUCCUCCAUGCCAAGGAAUAAGCGGUCAUAAUCGCCAUAGAAAUCUCGAAUCGCCUUUAGAAGAUGAAAAGAAUUACCAAAUAGUAGUAUUCAUGGAAAUUAUCAACUUUUUGAAACCAAAGUAUAUCCUCAUGGAAAACGUGGUUGACAUUUUGCGGUUGGCAAAUGGUUGCUUAGCAAGAUACGCAAUAAGUUGUCUGGUUCGUGAUUAUUAUCAAGUACGACUCGGGAUUAUGGCAGCUGGGUGUUACGGUCUCCCCCAGUUCCGCUUACGUGUAUUCUUGUGGGGUGCUCAUGCUGAAGAGAAUUUGCCUCCAUUUCCACUACCUACUCAUGAUGUGGUCUUCAAACACGGGGCAGCAAAUGGUUUCGAGCGUAAUAUCGUUGCUUACGAUGAAGGGAAACGUCCUAAGCUUGAGAAAUGUGUUCUUCUUAAAGAUGCGAUAUCCGAUCUUCCACCGGUAUCAAACACUGAAAUUCGUGAUAAGAUGAGGUACACGAGUCCUCCAGAAACCGAAUUCCAAAAAUUUAUUAGAGCUACCAAGUCAGAUAUGUUGGGAAUUGCUUCGGGAAGCUCGCGUGGAGAGAAGCCUUUACUGCACGAUCACCGGCCUUUACCAUUAAACGAGGAUGACUAUUUACGAGUUUGUCGAGUCCCAAAAAGAAAGGGAGCAAAUUUUCGUGAUCUCCCAGGUGUCGUUUUUGAUAAUGAUAAUACUGUAAGCAGGGCAUCUGAGCCGGAGCUAAUGCCAUCUGGAAAACAUUGGGUCCCUGAUUAUGCAUUAAAUUUUAGGCAUAAGAAGAAUACAAGGCAUGAGAUUUUAUCUACCCAAGAUCUUUUGCACGCUUAUGGUGGGAUGAGACAGUUUCGACAGUACUUUGCACACCAAAUUAUCGCGCUGAGGCAAUGUUACAUCCAGAACAAGAUAGGGUCCUAACUAUUCGUGAGAAUGCAAGAUUGCAAGGGUUUCCUGACUAUUAUGCAUUAAGCGGUAAUGUGAAACAAAGAUACCGGCAAGUGGGUAAUGCUGUAGCGGUUCCAGUGGGACGUGCAUUGGGUUAUGCAUUGGGAAUGGCGCUGCAUAAGUUGACUGGAGAUGAACCACUCAUCACACUCCCACCAAAGUUUGCACAUUCUACGACCUUUGACUUGUUGCAGUCCAGAUUAGCAACCGAACCUUAAUCGCCCUCGUUCUGAUUCUGCUUCACUGUUAACUACAGAUUAGCGUAAAAUAGAAAUGUUGGUUUUAAAUUUGAAGCUUCUGUAUGGCACACUUUUGUCUCUAUAAAAUGAUAUAUGUUUUGUGCUAUUGAUUAUACUGCCUAGAUCGAGGCUCCAUCCUUA